Molecule: long non-coding RNA, 1396 nt
Organism: Drosophila miranda
Lineage: Eukaryota; Metazoa; Arthropoda; Insecta; Diptera; Drosophilidae
Exons: 2
Source: RefSeq, a predicted model, not a curated record
UCCACCAUCCAUUUCGGGGAUGGUCCUUAAGGUUUUUCCGUUCCGAAAAUUUCCCACUUAGUCCACCAUCCAUUUUGAUGUUCCUAAGCCGCACGUUUCUAUGCGAUAGUUAUGAUGAUGAUACAUACAUAUGUAUUGUAUUUGAUUAUAAAAUAAUAAUAUUAAAAUACAAUUUGUUGUUUGCUAUUACUUUUGGAGCUGUGCUGUGCUGAAGCAUGAACCCAAAUUAGUUUGGCAUGGCUGUUUUAACCAGCGGCGACUCCAGUACCCUUCGUAGGAUGCAGCGCUCAAACAUUUUGCCAAAAGUUGACAAGAGACUAAUUGGUCUAUGUUUGUUGAGGUCUUCCGGUGGCUUUCCUGGCUUUGGCAACAUGAUUAUGUGGGCACAUCUCCAGGCUUUGGAAGAGUAUACUAAUCUUAGCGACGCGUUAAAGAUUAGCAACAGAUACAGAAUCGCUCUGUUUGGUAGCGCCUUUGCCAAAACAUUUUCAAUCCGAUCGUCGCCAGGGGCCUUCUUGGACUUGAGUUUCUUUAUGUCUUCCAAGAUUUCUUGAAAAGUGAUUGGCGCCACAGGGUGCUCCAUCUGGUGGGUCUCAUUCAGCCUCUCAGUGACCAUCAUUGCUCUUCAACUAGAUGUCGUCCAGAAUGGUGUGAAUCUUUCUUCCAGGUUCGUCGCAAAAGCCUCCACUCUGUCCAUUGCUGUUCUUGCCCAUGAGCCGUCAGCCUUCCUUGCCUAAAAAACAAUGAAUGGCAAUAAAAAAUAGUUCGCGCCCAGACACAUUGGAAUUCGUAAUUCGAAUUUUAAAUCGUUGAAAACUAAAAAAAGAAAAAAAGACAACAAACACAAUACAAAAUGGAGAGACCAGAAAUUGGUGGCCUUAAAUACACGCAAGUCGAAAUGAACUGGCAUUAUAGUACUGCGGAUUUGCGGGGGUCCCGAAAUAAUUCCGUUAAUGUCGACCGGGGCAGAUCCAACUACAGCUCUAGUUUUAUUUCUGCAACCAAGGCGCCGCAACAAGGCGGAUUAAACUGGAAAAUCUGAAAGAGAUUGCUCGAAAAAUGCUGGAAGUCCAGAAAGAGCAGCAGAAAUUACAGGAUGACCACCAGCAAUCAAAGCGAGAGAUACUCCAGCCAAUUGCGAGCAUCUAAGGCCAAACCAACUUCCAACAGAGCUUCUGAAAUUUUUAAGGGAGUCCUAAGAGUAACGUUUAUUGUAUAUAUAUGGCCGAAUCUAAACGUUGCCGAAUCGGGUUGAAACAUUUAUUUUAUUGUUUUAUAACAAAAGGAACAUUUUUAGACCCUGAGACCUUUGAAAAUUAAACUUUUAUAAAUAAGCGCAACCUUAAUACGCGAUAAGUUGGUUUACAUAUGCUAAUAAAUUGUGAAUAUAAUUCAA